RNAcentral lists this ribosomal RNA (878 nucleotides) under uncultured bacterium. RNAcentral's name for it is "bacterial SSU rRNA". It matches the Rfam family "Bacterial small subunit ribosomal RNA", at positions 27 to 906 of the family's 1533-position model. The record is from RNAcentral.
GGAUGAACGCUAGCGGCAGGCUUAAUACAUGCAAGUCGAACGGUAAGGCCCUUUCGGGGGUACACGAGUGGCGGACGGGUGCGUAACGCGUAUGCAACAUGCCCUCCAGCGGGGGAUAUGCCGGGGAAACUCGGUGCAACACCCCAUGGCAUUCCGGGGUCGCAUGGCCUUGGGAUUAAAUCCUUGGAGCUGGAGGAUUGGCAUGCGUGACAUUAGCUAGUUGGCGGGGUAACGGCCCACCAAGGCGACGAUGUCUAGCUGGUCUGAGAGGAUGAUCAGCCACACUGGGACUGAGACACGGCCCAGACUCCUACGGGAGGCAGCAGUAGGGAAUAUUGGACAAUGGGGGGAACCCUGAUCCAGCCAUGCCGCGUGAGGGAAGAAGGUCCUCUGGAUUGUAAACCUCUUUUGGCGGGGGACAAACCUGCGCUACACGCGCAGCUGAGGGUACCCGCAGAAUAAGCACCGGCUAACUCCGUGCCAGCAGCCGCGGUAAUACGGAGGGUGCAAGCGUUGUCCGGAUUCAUUGGGUUUAAAGGGUGCGUAGGCGGCCUGGUAAGUCAGCGGUGAAAUACCCACGCUCAACGUGGGAACUGCCGUUGAUACUGCCGGGCUUGAGUUCGUGCGAGGUCGCUGGAAUGCGUGGUGUAGCGGUGAAAUGCAUAGAUAUCACGCAGAACACCGAUUGCGAAGGCAGGUGACUGGCACGCGACUGACGCUGAGGCACGAAAGUGUGGGGAGCAAACAGGAUUAGAUACCCUGGUAGUCCACACCGUAAACGAUGGAUACUAGGUGUCCGGGGCUUCGGCCCUGGGUGCCCAAGGGAAACCGAUAAGUAUCCCACCUGGGGAGUACGUUCGCAAGGAUGAAACUCAAAG